This 314-nucleotide ribosomal RNA is filed under the name uncultured bacterium. RNAcentral's name for it is "bacterial SSU rRNA". It matches the Rfam family "Bacterial small subunit ribosomal RNA", at positions 28 to 334 of the family's 1533-position model. The record is from RNAcentral.
GACGAACGCUGGCGGCGUGCUUAACACAUGCAAGUCGAACGGGCUGAAGUGAUAGCUUGCUAUUAUGGAUGCUAGUGGCAAACGGGUGAGUAACGCGUAGGCAACCUGCCCUUCAGAUGGGGACAACACUUCGAAAGAGGUGCUAAUACCGAAUGACGUAUCCGAUCCGCAUGGAUUGGAAACCAAAGCUUUAUGUGCUGAAAGAUGGCCUCGCGUCUGAUUAGAUAGUUGGUAGGGUAACGGCCUACCAAGUCAACGAUCAGUAGCCGGUCUGAGAGGAUGAACGGCCACAUUGGGACUGAGAUACGGCCCAG